This 495-nucleotide ribosomal RNA is filed under the name uncultured bacterium. Its description in RNAcentral is "partial 16S ribosomal RNA". It matches the Rfam family "Bacterial small subunit ribosomal RNA", at positions 29 to 506 of the family's 1533-position model. The record is from RNAcentral.
AUGCACGCUGGCGGCGUGCCUCAUACAUGCAAGUCGCGCGAACAGACGAGGAGCUUGCUCCUCUGACGUUAGCGGCGGACGGGUGAGUAACACGUGGAUAACCUACCUAUAAGACUGGGAUAACUUCGGGAAACCGGAGCUAAUACCGGAUAAUAUAUUGAACCGCAUGGUUCCAUAGUGAAAGACGGUUUUGCUGUCACUUAUAGAUGGAUCCGCGCCGCAUUAGCUAGUUGGUAAGGUAACGGCUUACCAAGGCGACGAUGCGUAGCCGACCUGAGAGGGUGAUCGGCCACACUGGAACUGAGACACGUUCCAGACUCCUACGGGAGGCAGCAGUAGGGAAUCUUCCGCAAUGGGCGAAAGCCUGACGGAGCAACGCCGCGUGAGUGAUGAAGGUCUUCGGAUCGUAAAACUCUGUUAUUAGGGAAGAACAAAUGUGUAAGUAACUAUGCACGUCUUGACGGUACCUAAUCAGAAAGCCACGGCUAACUACGU